GGGCCCGCACAAGCGGUGGAGCAUGUGGUUUAAUUCGAUGAUACGCGAGGAACCUUACCAGGGCUUAAAUGUAGUAUGACCGGCUUGGAAACAGGCCUUCUCUUCGGAGCAGAUUACAAGGUGCUGCAUGGUUGUCGUCAGCUCGUGCCGUGAGGUGUUAGGUUAAGUCCUGCAACGAGCGCAACCCCUAUUCUUAGUUGCCAGCGGUUCGGCCGGGGACUCUAAGAAGACUGCCAGCGCAAGCUGAGAGGAAGGUGGGGAUGACGUCAAAUCAUCACGGCCCUUACGUCCUGGGCUACACACGUGCUACAAUGGUAGAGACAGAGGGCAGCGAGCCGGCGACGGUUAG
This 349-nucleotide ribosomal RNA is filed under the name uncultured bacterium. RNAcentral describes it as "bacterial SSU rRNA". It matches the Rfam family "Bacterial small subunit ribosomal RNA", at positions 917 to 1267 of the family's 1533-position model. The record is from RNAcentral.